This 253-nucleotide ribosomal RNA is filed under the name uncultured bacterium. Its description in RNAcentral is "partial 16S ribosomal RNA". It matches the Rfam family "Bacterial small subunit ribosomal RNA", at positions 524 to 776 of the family's 1533-position model. The record is from RNAcentral.
UACGUGGGGUGCAAGCGUUAAUCGGAAUUACUGGGCGUAAAGCGUGAGCAGGCGGCUUUGCAAGACAGAUGUGAAAUCCCCGGGCUUAACCUGGGAACUGCAUUUGUGACUGCAUGGCUAGAGUGCGGCAGAGGGGGAUGGAAUUCCGCGUGUAGCAGUGAAAUGCGUAGAUAUGCGGAGGAACACCGAUGGCGAAGGCAAUCCCCUGGGCCUGCACUGACGCUCAUGCACGAAAGCGUGGGGAGCAAACAGG